AUACGUAGGUGACAAGCGUUAUCCGGAUUUACUGGGCGUAAAGGGCGUGUAGGCGGUCUUGCAAGUCAGAAGUGAAAUUCCUGAGCUCAACUCGGGCGCUGCUUCUGAAACUGCAGGACUUGAGUGCUGGAGGGGAUAGCGGAAUUCCUAGUGGAGCGGUAAAAUGCGCAGAUAUUAGGAAGAACACCGGUGGCGAAGGCGGCUAUCUGGACAGUAACUGACGCUGAGGCGCGAAAGCGUGGGGAGCAAACAGGAUUAGAUACCCUGGCAGUCCACGCCGUAAACGAUGAAUACUAGGUGUAGGGGGUGUCGACUCCCUCUGUGCCGCAGUUAACACAAUAAGUAUUCCGCCCGGGGAGUACGGCCGCAAGGUUGAAACUCAAAUGAAUUGACGGGG
This 397-nucleotide ribosomal RNA is filed under the name uncultured bacterium. RNAcentral's name for it is "partial 16S ribosomal RNA". It matches the Rfam family "Bacterial small subunit ribosomal RNA", at positions 523 to 918 of the family's 1533-position model. The record is from RNAcentral.